CAUUUUUAAUAGAAAUUAUUAUUAAUAAUUUCUGCUCCAUGAUAUUAAAUAGCCGCAGUUUACUUGUGCUAAGGUAGCAUAAUCAUUUGUCUUUUAAUUAAAGUCUUGAAUGAAAGAUCAUACAUUUGAUUUAAUUUUUUAAUUUAAAACAAUAAAAUUAUUAUAAAUAUAAAAAUAUAUUUUUAUAUAAAAAAGACGAUAAGACCCUAUUGAACUUUACUUUAGUUUUACUGGGGCAGUAAAUUAAAAAUCAUUUUAAUUCAUUAUACAAAUAUAUCUAAUAAAAUUAAUAUUAAUAACGUUACCAUAGGGAUAACAGCGCAAUAAUUUAUUAAAGAUCUUAUAAAAUAAAUUGAUUACGACCUCGAUGUUGAAUUAAUAUUCUUACAAUCGCAAUAGAUUAAUAAAGAAAGUCUGUUCGACUUUUAAAUAAUUACAUGA
RNAcentral lists this ribosomal RNA (441 nucleotides) under Neostasina taino. RNAcentral describes it as "partial 16S ribosomal RNA". Lineage: Eukaryota; Metazoa; Arthropoda; Arachnida; Araneae; Sparassidae. The record is from RNAcentral.